This 468-nucleotide ribosomal RNA is filed under the name uncultured bacterium. Its description in RNAcentral is "partial 16S ribosomal RNA". It matches the Rfam family "Bacterial small subunit ribosomal RNA", at positions 28 to 507 of the family's 1533-position model. The record is from RNAcentral.
GACGAACGCUGGCGGCGUGCUUAACACAUGCCAGUCGAACGGAAAGGCCCUGCUUUUGUGGGGUGCUCGAGUGGCGAACGGGUGAGUAACACGUGAGUAACCUGCCCUUGACUUUGGGAUAACUUCAGGAAACUGGGGCUAAUACCGGAUAGGAGCUCCUGCUGCAUGGUGGGGGUUGGAAAGUUUCGGCGGUUGGGGAUGGACUCGCGGCUUAUCAGCUUGUUGGUGGGGUAGUGGCUUACCAAGGCUUUGACGGGUAGCCGGCCUGAGAGGGUGACCGGCCACAUUGGGACUGAGCUACGGCCCAGACUCCUACGGGAGGCAGCAGUGGGGAAUAUUGCACAAUGGGCGGAAGCCUGAUGCAGCAACGCCGCGUGCGGGAUGACGGCCUUCGGGUUGUAAACCGCUUUCGCCUGUGACGAAGCGUGAGUGACGGUAAUGGGUAAAGAAGCACCGGCUAACUACGUG